RNAcentral lists this ribosomal RNA (306 nucleotides) under uncultured bacterium. RNAcentral describes it as "bacterial SSU rRNA". It matches the Rfam family "Bacterial small subunit ribosomal RNA", at positions 30 to 334 of the family's 1533-position model. The record is from RNAcentral.
AUUGAACGCUGGCGGCAUGCUUUACACAUGCAAGUCGAACGGCAGCACGGAUGCUUGCAUCUGGUGGCGAGUGGCGGACGGGUGAGUAAUACAUCGGAACGUGUCCUUAAGUGGGGGAUAACGCAUCGAAAGAUGUGCUAAUACCGCAUAAUAUCUAAGGAAGAAAGUGGGGGAUCGAAAGACCUCAUGCUUUUGGAGCGGCCGAUGUCUGAUUAGCUAGUUGGUGGGGUAAUGGCCUACCAAGGCAACGAUCAGUAGUUGGUCUGAGAGGACGACCAGCCACACUGGGACUGAGACACGGCCCAG